GAUGAACGCUAGCGGCAGGCUUAACACAUGCAAGUCGAGGGGCAGCAUGACGGAACCUUCGGGUUUUGUUGAUGGCGACCGGCGCAAGGGUGCGUAACGCGUGAGCAACUUGCCCGUUUCUGGGGAAUAACCGGUGGAAACGCCGACUAAUACCCCAUAGUAUCAUUAUUAGGCAUCUUUUAAUGAUUAAAGGAUUUCGGAAACGGAUAGGCUCGCGUGACAUUAGCUAGAUGGCGGGGUAACGGCCCACCAUGGCAACGAUGUCUAGGGGUUCUGAGAGGAAGGUCCCCCACACUGGAACUGAGACACGGUCCAG
This 316-nucleotide ribosomal RNA is filed under the name uncultured bacterium. RNAcentral describes it as "bacterial SSU rRNA". It matches the Rfam family "Bacterial small subunit ribosomal RNA", at positions 28 to 334 of the family's 1533-position model. The record is from RNAcentral.